UGGGGGAUAUUGCGCAAUGGAGGAAACUCUGACGCAGCAACGCCGCGUGAAGGACGAAGGUCUUCGGAUCGUAAACUUUUGUCUUUGGGGAAGAUAAUGACGGUACCCAAGGAGGAAGCCACGGCUAACUACGUGCCAGCAGCCGCGGUAAUACGUAGGUGGCAAGCGUUGUCCGGAUUUACUGGGUGUAAAGGGCGUGUAGGCGGGUAGAUAAGUCAGAUGUGAAAUGCAGGGGCUCAACCCCUGAGCUGCAUUUGAAACUGUUUAUCUUGAGUGCAGGAGAGGAAAGUGGAAUUCCUAGUGUAGCGGUGAAAUGCGUAGAUAUUAGGAGGAACACCAGUGGCGAAGGCGACUUUCUGGACUGUAACUGACGCUGAGGCGCGAAAGCGUGGGGAGCAAACAGG
RNAcentral lists this ribosomal RNA (404 nucleotides) under uncultured bacterium. Its description in RNAcentral is "bacterial SSU rRNA". It matches the Rfam family "Bacterial small subunit ribosomal RNA", at positions 355 to 776 of the family's 1533-position model. The record is from RNAcentral.